This is a long non-coding RNA of Hylaeus volcanicus, 2733 nucleotides long. RefSeq lists it as uncharacterized. Lineage: Eukaryota; Metazoa; Arthropoda; Insecta; Hymenoptera; Colletidae. The transcript has 4 exons. The record is from RefSeq and is a predicted model, not a curated record.
CUCUCGGACCUCUCCAGGGAAAUAAAAGAACGUAUUUAUAUCUACGUCUGGAUAGCGCCGGGAAACGUUCUAUAGAUGGAACUCCUGACGACGGGGCAUCUAGUUUAUGCGAUUAAUCCGUGCGUAACAGGGAGGCAUUGAUCACGUGAUCAAACACUGGCCUUGAUAUGGAGUCUUUGAUGAGAAUGACGUUGAUGCUUUUGGACAGCUAGAGCUACUUACCUUUAGAACUACAUUUUUAUAUAUUGUUGGAUGAUCAACGCAACUAAUCACAAACAUAACAAAGACCAUAGACUCGUCCUCAACCAAACAUCCUAAUCUCGGUCCCUAGUUCCUCACUCAUCCUGUACUUCGUACCCUUUCUUAGUCGUAUUCUCGUUUGACCGCUGUCCUUAACAUCACUCAUCCUCCGGAAUUAUAUUUUAUCCUCAUAUAAAAGCCCGGAAAAACCCAAGAACCAGACAGAAUUCAGUAUUCACCGGCAAGUGCGGACGUAGUUGUAUAAAUAAAAACGUUUAACACGUUGACUGCCAAGAAAGUACUCUUGAUCAUUUCUAUUGGAAUUUAAUUUUGUUUACAGACAAUUGGAAACUCCAUAAUCAAACAUUUAUUGUGCUGUUUGUUUAUGUAACUUCAACGAAAUUUAAGAACUUCAUUCAAAUUUAUUUACUUUGACGUUUGACUUUCAGAAUUAAUUUUUGUAGUAGUUCUUAAAAUUCUUUAGUUUAAAAAUUGUACACUAUGACGAAGUUACCUUUUGAACAAAUAAUAAAAUGAAUGUUUGUUUCCAUUCAAGUGCUGAUAGCUAGCUGUUUAUAUGUUUACCUACUUUUCUGUACAGCUGUCAGUAAUACUAUAACAGCGAAUUGUUUUCUUUGUUGUUACAAGCUCGUCAUUGAGCACUUAAGGUAAGGGUCGGUUACUUUCACCGUUUCCAAGGCAGAAUCGAUUACUUUUGGUCCGAUAUUGCUGACGCACAGGUAUGGCAGGUACCUUCAAAGUAAUGGUACUCCCAAGCAGUCAUUCUGACGCCAGUCUAAUUAUGGACAUCUUAUUCGUAACUCUAGGUCAGGUAUGAAAAACCAGUAUUCUUAAUCUGCCCUUCGUCCUCAAGGAUUAUUUAUCAACUGUGGCCUUCUGCGAAUUUGUCAGAAAAUCUUAUGCUCGUUACCCUGUUUUGGCACAAUGCGUAAAACUAUUCAAUACCUAAUUUAUAAAGGACUAACUGAAGUUACGGGCAUGGACAUUAAAAUCACAUUUUUAUAAAACAAUUACUGACUAGCUUUUCAAAAAUAUCACACCUACUUUUAGUUGGCUUGCAGAACAAAUAAACGUCGUUGACGAAGUGUAUCGCCACCACCAGUGGGUGUUGAGUAAAUAAAUGUUUGGAAAUGGCUGCAAAAACAUAUCCAGCGGAUUUAAAUCUAGAAAACGACCAAGCCAAGCAAUAGAUCCCGCGUGACCUAUCCAUCUGUUAGAAAAUCGUUCGUUCAAGAACUGUCUGGUAUAUUCAGCUGAAAUGUGGCGGUAAACCGUCAUGCAUAAAUCACAUGCGAUGGUACAACAUCUAGUGGAACUUUCAAUAACUCACGCAAAUAAUUACUUAAGAAACUGACAUCCGAUCGACCUGUUAAUCCAGCAUUAAGGAAAACGUGGAACUUCCGAACAUUGCGUAUAAACAAUUGGGGAGAACCAGUUACGCUGACUCAGUUUCAGAUUGGAAAGUACGAAAUACACAAAAGGAAUGGCUGUAGCUUGUGGACAAAAGCAAAUCUUUUUAGUGAUCUCGAUUGCUAAAGACAGCGGCCACUGUGGUCACGAGAUUUUGAUAGAGAGCUGAGACGGCAUUAAUUGAUCGAAGCAGGUACAAGACCCGGAUUCGAAUCCCAGGUGCAACAACCUUAUUCUUUUCCCUGUUCGUCGAAGACACGAAUCAUCACGUGACGUAAUCACGACACUUUGCAUCGUUAAUGUAAAUGUAUGCGUCAUUUUCAAGGUUAUUGCUGCCAGAAUGUUUAUACGCCUAUGCAUUCAUGGAAGAAGUGAAUAGUGGUAGCUGAAAACAGGUAGUAGUUAAAAUAAAUAUAGUUAAGCGAGUUAAGUGAGUCAUUAGAGAUUGUUGGUGUGAAGUAAUCGAUACAUGACGUAGAUACACGGUAAACAUACCUUGUAAUUGUAACCAAUAAUAGAGACGUAAAGAGUAUACUCAUUGAUUUCUAACUGAUAAUUUAACACACGACUUUUACCAAUCAGUAUCCUAAAGCGUUAUGGCCAGCAGAGAAAAAGUAAUAAUAACUAGAUUGAGAACAAGACACUCAAAAAUCACACAUCCACAUCUACUAAAGUAAACGGAUCCUCCCACUGCGACUACUGUAAUAAGGAAAUUAAAAUCGACCACCUACUGUACGAGUGUAGAAAAUUUGAGCUACGGAGAAGGAAGUACAACUGGAAUCAAGAGACAGCUCUAAUAUCCCAGAAACAUGUACAAAACACCAUCAACUAUCUCAAGGAUACUAAACUCUACAAUAAUGCUCUGUCAUUGGAUUUCAACAAUUCAUCUUGUCUUUUCCUAUGUUGACUCACCGUACAUCGGACUUGUUACUAAUGGAAGCAAGAAUGUUUGGUUUUGCGGAAUACCGCACGGUAAGGGAAACGUUUCUCGGCUCCGUCGGCACCUACAUUUCGACCAACGGAAAUAGACCCUCUAAACUUUAGAGUCUAAAGAAUAAUUUA